RNAcentral lists this ribosomal RNA (403 nucleotides) under Verrucomicrobiota bacterium. RNAcentral's name for it is "Verrucomicrobia bacterium partial 16S ribosomal RNA". It matches the Rfam family "Bacterial small subunit ribosomal RNA", at positions 355 to 776 of the family's 1533-position model. Lineage: Bacteria; Pseudomonadati; Verrucomicrobiota. The record is from RNAcentral.
UGGGGAAUAUUGCACAAUGGAGGGAACUCUGAUGCAGCGACGCCGCGUGAACGAAGAAGGCUUUCGAGUCGUAAAGUUCUUUUAUAUGGGAAGAUAAUGAAGGUACCAUAAGAAAAAGCCCCGGCUAACUACGUGCUAGCAGCCGCGGUAAUCCGUAGGGGGCUAGCGUUGUCCGGAAUCACUGGGCGUAAAGGGUUCGCAGGCGGAAAUGCAAGUCAGGUGUAAAAGGCAGUAGCUUAACUACUGUAAGCAUUUGAACCUGCAUAUCUUGAGAAGAGUAGAGGUAAGUGGAAUUUUUAGUGUAGCGGUGAAAUGCGUAGAUAUUAAAAAGAAUACCGGUGGCGAAGGCGACUUACUGGGCUCAUUCUGACGCUGAGGAACGAAAGCGUAGGUAGCAAACAGG